Anopheles funestus (African malaria mosquito) is the source of this 4361-nucleotide long non-coding RNA. RefSeq lists it as uncharacterized. NCBI's taxonomy places the organism in Eukaryota, Metazoa, Arthropoda, Insecta, Diptera, Culicidae. The transcript is spliced from 3 exons. The record is from RefSeq and is a predicted model, not a curated record.
UGCAUAAUGGCAGGAAUCCUCUUGGGACCUAUCUUGAACAGUUCGGCUUCCAGACCAUCGCUGCCAGGUGACUUGUUGCAUUUCAGCUGUUUGAUGGCACUGAUGACUUCGCCCAAGGAUGGCGGGGGCACUUCGUCAUCCUGCUGACUGUCGUAGUACUGCUCUCCUCUGCUGCCUGCGCCUGGUUCAGUCUCUCCUGCAUCUGCUCCGUUCAGGUGACUGUCGAAGUAGCACUUCCACCUGUCGAUCAGCUCUUCAGGCACAUAGCGGUCAUGGGAGUAAACCGCCUCGGGCCGCAUUCAACGUACUGUACAGUUUCUCCCGACUGGGAUAGAUGCUGCAUCAGUUGUUCAUCCGACUCUUCUUGGCGGGUCUGCUGCCUUCUUAGUCGUCUAUAGUUUUCCACGUUCUGCCAGGUUCUGCCAGAACAACAACUGGAGCAUACGAGGGGUCAACACGUGUGGGAAGGUUAUGACGGCUUAACAUACUUGUGGGCGGGGCUACGAGGGUUUAAAAUGCGUGUGGGAAGGUUGCAGUGGCUUAAGAGGGUUUAAAACUCGUGUGGGUGGUUCAAUGAGGGCCAAACACGUGUGGGCUGGGCAAUAGGGACGUCAAGCAGGUGUAGGAGGGCCACGAGGGCUCCACACAAGUAUGGGCGGGUCUACGAAGGCAUAAGAAACAAGUGGGAGGGGCUAUGUAGGCUUAAAACACUUGUGGGCUACGAGGGCUCAAAACUUGAGGAGGAAGGAUUUACGUGGGCCCAAAACCUAUGGUGGAAGAGACUGAUGAGGGUCCAAAAUUCGCGUGUAUUAAAAGGGGGCGAAUCUACGAUGGAUUUAAUAAAAAGGAGGCGUGGCUACGGGCGGUUAAAGCUGAUUGGAGCUGUUUAUUAAAAAGUGGGCGUGGUUACGGCCGGUUAAAGCAAAAAGGGCGUGGCUACGGAUGAUAAAAUCCGAUUCGAUGGUUUAACCAAAAAGGGAACGUGGCUGCGGGUGGUUAAAGCACAAGGUGGGCGUGGCUACGAUCGGUAAAAAUCGAUAUUUGUUUUUUUUAAAAGAGAGGGUGGCUACGGCUGCUUAAACGAUUGUAGCCACGCCCCCAUUUAAAAAAAGCCAAAUAUCGAUGAUCAUCGAUCGUAGCCACGCCCCUUUUCGGUUAAAUCGAUCCUAGCCACGCCCACUUUUUGCAUUAACACCCGCAGUCACGCCCCCUUUUUGGUUCAACCAAAAAGGAUGGAUUUUAUCAUCCGUAGCCACGCCCUUUUUUGCUUUAACUGUCCGUAACCACGCCCAUCUUUUAAUAAACAGCUCCAAUCGGUUUUUACCGCCCGUAGCCACGCCCCCUUUUUAAUCACGCGAAUUUUGGACCCUCAUCAGUCUCUUCCACCAUAGGUUUUGGUCCCUCGUAAAUUCUCCCUCCCCAGGUUUUGAGCCCUCGUAGCCUGCCCACAAGUGUUUUAAGCCUACGUAGCCCCGCCCACUGGUUUCGUAUGCCUUCGUAGACCCGCCCAUACUUGUGUGGAGCCCUCGUGGCCCUCCUACACCUGUUUGACGCCCCCAUUGCUCCACCCACACGAGUUUUAGACCCCCCUUAGUCACUGUAACCCUCCAACACCAUUUUAAACCCUCGUAGCCCCGCCCACAAGUAUGUUAAGCCGUCAUAACCUUCCCACACGUGCUGACCCCCCGUAUGCUACAGUGCGAGACCUGGCAGAACGUGGAAAACUAUAGACGACUAAGAAGGCAGCAGACCCGACAAGAAGAGUCGGAUGAACAACUGAUGCAGCAUCUAUCCCAGUCGGGAGAAACUGUACACGGUUUUACUCCCAUGACCGCUAUGUGCCGCAACGAGGAAGGAGAUACCCUGUCGGACGAUCAAGAGCUGAUCGACAGGUGGAAGUGCUACUUCGACAGUCACCUGAACGGAGCAGAUGCAGGAGAGACUGAACCAGGCGCAGGAAGCAGAGGAGAGCAGUACUACGACAGCCAGCAGGAUGACGAAGUGCCCCCGCCAUCCUUGGACGAAGUCAUCAAUCCCAUUAAACAGCUGAAAUGCAACAAGUCACCUGGCAGCGAUGGUCUGGAAGCCGAACUGUUCAAGAUGGGUUCCAAGAGGAUUCCUGCCAUUAUGCAUCGGUUAAUCGUAGGGAUUUCGGACUAGUGGAAACUGAGUGUUAUACACCCAGUGUACUAAAAGGGCGAAAAACUGGACUGUGCUAACUUCCGAGCCAUCACAGCCCUGAAUGUUGCCUACAAGAUCCUGUCCCGAAUACUCUUCUGCAGACUUGCGCCCCUUGCCACAGAUUUCGUCGGAAGCUAUAAAGCUGGAUUUGGUAGAGCCAACCGACCAAAGCUUUACUCUAUGGCAGAUCCUCCAGAAGUGCCGAGAGCACCAGAUCCCUAAGCACCACUUGUUCAUUUACUUAAGACCUAUGAUACCAUAGAUCGGACCGAACUAUGGAACAGAUUCCCAGGGAUGCUAGGCUAUCGCGAAGGCUACUAUGGACGGAGUGCAGAGCAAGGUGAGAUUGUCGGAAUAGUUCGUAUCGGACUCUUCUGUUAACAUCGCUCUGGAAGGUGUGCGAGGCGUACACGCGACUGAAACAAUGGCGCGUAUGGUUUUGAAGCACUAAUAAAGAACAAUUCGACCACGAUUACUUGCUCUCGUAGCCCCAGCCACAUGUGUUUGACGCCCCUGUAGAUCCGCCCACGCGUGUUUGACGUCCACGUAGCCUUCCAACUGCCUGCUGCUCGUCGCUUGGCGUCCACUGGUUGGCGUACCCCGCCGCCCUUCGCUUGCCGUCCAACGGUUGCCGCACGAUGCUGCCCAUCGCUUGCCGUCUACCGGUCACCGCCGGUCGUCGCAUAACGCCAUCGCCGACGAAAUUGCAAACCAAUCGACGACAUCUGCAAUAAACCAAUGAAAACAUCAGAUGAGUCAGAGAGGGGUCUGGCAAGGGAAAGCUUUGGUAUGUUGUGCAGCAUCCAGUCAAAGAUUACAAACUGCGACAUGCAAAUGACUGAUCGUACCGUCGGUGUCCAAGCUACAAAGAUUGAUGAGUUUCCACUGUGGAGGAUCACUUAUCAAUGAGACUUCUGUUGUUUUUACUGCAUUUUUUCCGGGAUUCCAGUGGAUUUUCCGGCAUUUUUGCAGAUUGUUGUCCACAAAAACUAUGACCCGAAGGAUCCGAGCAAUGCCAACGAUAUAAGAUGGAAACACAUUUGUAUUACAAUCGUAAGGGAAUUUUCACCAUAAAUGCUUCAAUGGCGAUUCAGCAUACCGCAAGGAGGACUUGUUGAUCAUACCAAACAGGGAUGCAGAUCCAGCAGCUUUCAACACUAUGUAGGCAUACUGCAGAACUCAUUAUAAUUGAGCGUUGUUGCGUAUUGAGCUUAUCUUGUGCACUUUAAAAUAUGUGCCUUGAUCAUGGAAUACAUCUUUAAACAAUCAUUAUUUUCGUGCAUUAAACAACGUAAUCGAAUUACUGCUUUAUACACCGGAAAAUGUGUACAAAUAAUAAAUGUAUGUUGUGAACUUCACAAUAUGUGUAUUGAAAAUGGAAUACAUCUUUAAGCAGUCGUGGUCGUUCAUUUUCUUCUUGCAUUAAAUAACCUAGUCGAGAUACAUAAAAUUGAUCUACCCAAUAUAAAUACUCGUUGGUAGCUACGUAAAAGCUUAAAUAAAAAAAAUGGAUUCAACGUUUUCAAAACAAAAAGAAUUUUCAUAAAUCGAGAAGCUCAUUGAGAAACGGAAAUAUUGUUAAGUAAAUUGUCUUUUUGAUUUACAUUUUUCCAGCGAAGUCGAUGGUAAUAAUAAGCGCUUGGAUACCUUAGCGUUCUCCGGAAUCUUCCCCGAUUGACAUAAACCAGAAUCUUUUUACCGAGUUGCUUUACCAUGACUUCCCAAUGGUCUAUUAUCCCACUGGUCGUAGUAAGGACGACGUAGCUAAAGGGACGGAAGAUCAGCAGAUUAUUCGUUAAUUGUUCAACACCUUCCAGCCAUCGGCUGGGUAUGGGUUAGUGCCGUUGAAUGGAUGUAUGGUGCCGGGUUUUGCCGUGUGGGUUGUGCCCGCAUGAUGCUGUUGAUGAUCCAGCCCAUCAGUGUAACAGUUCAUCGUGUGCGCCUGCAUUUAUGCGCGUGUGCAAAUUGAAGCGAAAUUGAUAUUCAAAUUUGGAAUUGAAACCCCUCGCCGAAGUGUGGUAUGGGUCGUGAGAGGGAGGAAUAAUUUUUCAUUUUCUGACCCGGCGUAUGUUGAGGCGUAUAAAAGGCGAAGUGGACCCAUCGGCAUUUGCCGGAGCGUAGAGAUGAGUACACUCCUGUGAGCAGUGUUGCCAGUUUUAGCACAAAGCGUGCAGAAACGA